Molecule: ribosomal RNA, 119 nt
Organism: Betta splendens (Siamese fighting fish)
Lineage: Eukaryota; Metazoa; Chordata; Actinopteri; Anabantiformes; Osphronemidae
Source: Ensembl
GCUUACGGCCAUACCACCCUGAGCACGCCCGAUCUCGUCUUUUCUCAGAAGCUAAGCAGGGUGGGGCCUGGUUAGUACUUGGAUGGGAGACUGCUUAGGAAUACCAGGUGCUGUAAGUU